Molecule: ribosomal RNA, 417 nt
Filed under: uncultured bacterium
Lineage: Bacteria
Description: bacterial SSU rRNA
Rfam family: Bacterial small subunit ribosomal RNA
Source: RNAcentral
UGGCGAACGGGUGAGUAAUAUAUCGGAACGUGCCCAGUCGUGGGGGAUAACGUAGCGAAAGCUACGCUAAUACCGCAUACGAUCUAUGGAUGAAAGCGGGGGAUCGCAAGACCUCGCGCGAUUGGAGCGGCCGAUAUCAGAUUAGGGUAGUUGGGUGAGGUAAAGGCUCACCAAGCCGACGAUCUGUAGCUGGUCUGAGAGGACGACCAGCCACACUGGGACUGAGACACGGCCCAGACUCCUACGGGAGGCAGCAGUGGGGAAUUUUGGACAAUGGGCGCAAGCCUGAUCCAGCAAUGCCGCGUGCAGGAUGAAGGCCUUCGGGUUGUAAACUGCUUUUGUACGGAACGAAACGGUGAGCUCUAAUACAGUUUGCUAAUGACGGUACCGUAAGAAUAAGCACCGGCUAACUACGUG